This 65-nucleotide transfer RNA is filed under the name Kryptolebias caudomarginatus. RNAcentral's name for it is "tRNA-Cys". It matches the Rfam family "tRNA". From Rfam's summary of the family: Transfer RNA (tRNA) molecules are approximately 80 nucleotides in length. Lineage: Eukaryota; Metazoa; Chordata; Actinopteri; Cyprinodontiformes; Rivulidae. The record is from RNAcentral.
AGCCCUGAAGUAUCAAUACAUUAGAUUGCAAAUCUAAAGAAGCAGGUUAUCGCCGGCCGGGGCUU